AUCUGCCAAUCAAUAAUCCCAUUUAACACAAUUUAUGAAUUAUGUUGGUUUUCAAAAAGUUUUUUCUGCCGUGUUCAUUUUGAUCAUUUUACUCCUUCUUGUCGGGAAUUGGUCUACCUUAUCAAAGAAGACAAAAUUUUUAUAAUACUAAACCACCAGUCUGUGCUUAGAGGCAGGACGUCUUAGGAAAUCCUUUCCUCUCCUUUCUGACAUUAAUACAGUCAAGGCUGUCUUCUCUUAGUUGCUUUGUGAGGCAAAGGAAAAUAAAGGUGAUGAAAUGCUAGUCACUAAUUUGUACUCAAGCAAAAUAUUUGGUUGAGAGAGAACUUAAAAAUUUAACCACAACAAAACUUGUAAGAGUUUUUGUCUUAAAAAUAACUUAAUUCUCACAAUGGAUAUCUUUGGUGCCCUCAUUACAUCCCCUUGGCCACAUAUGCUUGUGGCCACAAUUGCAUUUCAUGGUUGGUUUCUUGUAAGCCCAGGCAUAACUUCUCUCAGGAUGGUGGUUUCCUAUCUUAAGCACUUGGUUGGUAUCUUUCAGCUUAUAUCCUCUGGGCUUUCUCAGCUAUGCUGGCAUUUCACCUGUGGCCUGAAGUGAACACUGCUAAGAAGUGUGGGGUAUUUAAAAAUGGAAAAUAAGGCCGGGUGCGGUGGCUUACACCUGUAAUUCCAGCACUUUGGGAGGCUGAGGUGGGUGGAUCACGAGGUCAGGAGAUUGAGUCCAUUCUGGCUAACACAGUGAAACCCCAUCUCUACUAAAAAUACAAAAAAUUAGCUGGGCGUGGUGGCAGGCGCCGGUAGUCCCAGCUGCUCGGGAGGCUGAGGCAGGAGAAUGGCGUGAACCCAGGAGGCGGAGCUUGCAGUGAGCUGAGAUCCCGCCACUGCACUCCAGCCUGUGAGACUCCGUCUCAAAAAAAAAAAAAAAAAAAAGGAAAAUAUAUCACCCCUGGGGACAACUUUAAACAAAGAAAUAAGAGCUGCCAACUCCUCUUCUUCAGGUGGACAAUGCUGGAAGACGUUCUGUAUGCUUCUUAGAGGUCUGAGCAGACUUGAGGCUUUACAGAAGUAAGGUCAAUAAUAAGCUCUUACAUUUGCACUUUUCCUGCCUGCCUCUCCCCACUCCUUCAUUCCUGCUUACUGAGAUGACCUCCAAACCAAGCCACAUGCUCUUACAUCCUUGUCUGAGGCUCUGCUUUCAGCGGAACAAAAUUAAAAUAUUUUCCACAAAUACAUAAAAAGACCAAUAAUUGGGUGAUUUUUAAUCAAUUUAAAUUUAAUUUUUAAAUUUUUAAAACAAACCUGUCCUCAAUUCUGUUGCUCUCAUUUUCAUUAUCAUCAUAACCAUUAUCAUCAUCUUCAUAACUCAUGGAAAAGUAAAUAAAAUACGCAAAAAUAUUUAAAGGUCAUAUGUAAAGAGUUUUAUGCCAGACUUGGAGGCUUAGCAAAUGGCCUUUUAUUUUGGGGAAAUCAGAAAAUAGAAGACCUGCAAGGGACAUUAGAUUAAAACUUGUGUCUGACUUUGACUGGAAGAGAUUAAAAAAAGGGAAACAUUGCUUACAUAGAAAACAUUUGCCCUAUUAAUUGCUGUAUCUACUGAUGAUGUAUAUUUAUCUCGGAUGCAUAUUUAUCUGCUUGAUCUACUGAUGAUCCUACUAUUGUAGGGAAAAAAUAGGGCAAUUCAAAAAGGAUAUUUAGAUACAAUCAUUAUCUAAAGCUCUUAAUCACAAUAAAUGUAUUAAAAAUUUUGAACUCCUAGGAGUGUGAUGAUAAAAUACAUGUUAUAGAACUGUCUCCAUUUAUGUUGUAGCUAAUUUUUUCACCUAAUUCAUACCCAGAUGUUCCCAGAUACAUGACAACAUUUGGGCCUCUUUAUAGUCUUUCUCCUGAUAUGAUAUGAUAUUAAGGCAAAAACAGCUCUAACGUUCACAUUAUCUCUAUUGUGGCCUAUUAUUAAUUCAGGAAAUGUGAUCAUAUAAUUAAUGUAUUUCUAAAACAAAGCUUCAUUGUAAUCUGCUUUCAGUGUCAUCAUAAUUUCAAAACAUGUUAUUGAAAGGUACUAUGGUAUAAAUGGUUAAUUUUGACCAAAAAAAUUCAAAAUCAACCUCUGUGCUCUAAUGGGAGAAGGAAGGAAUUCCCAAGAGUUUUUGUUAAUACGUUAAAUACUACAUUUCUUUUGAACUUCCCCAGUGCCUUCUUAUGGUAAAUAGCUACUUGAACAGAGGUAUAGUUUCUAUUCCUGUUAAAGUAUGAGUCAUAUCAAAAUCUAAUCAAGUAAGUGAAAGGUAAAAAUGUCAUCACACUUCUAAAAUUGCUGUCAAUAUUUCACACCUGUAUGGAAAGCAGAUAGAUGUCUAAGCAGCAGCUUGAUAACAUUCCAAACUGCAACCUCUAAUUAACUCACCUUUUGAAUUAUUAGCGAGACUCCACUGCGACCCAUGCAGCCUUUGGCAGGGAGCCUGACAACAAAAUGCAUGUCUAAAAUACCAAGGAGGGGGAGAAGUGCUAUAUUAUUUGGCACAAAUAUUAUCAUCCACCUGUGAAGAGGGAAUAUGCUUUUCCACUUUGCUUAUUAUAGAUGAUUUACUAGUUAUAUGCUCUUGGCUUCAUCUCCAUAAAUUAUACUAUAAUCAUUCAGCCUAAGGGAUAAUGGUAAAACUAUGGUUGAUAUACUCAAUACGGUAGGGAAAGUUAAUUAAAUUAGAUAAAAAUAUUUCAAUGAUAUUUACAUGCUCUCAAUAUUUAGAGUCUGAUACAAACCAUGAAAUUUGUAUGGAAGAGUCUAUAGAGCAUACAGUUUGUAUUAUGAGACUAAAGCUGACUUAGACACAUCUGGAACUUGGAACAGAGAAAACCCAUGUCAUGUAAUAAUUUGAUAAUGCAAGUAUUUGAGGAUUUAGUUUGUCUCUUGAUAAAUUAAUAAGGAGGCUUCACUACAAAUACAGUGUGAGAAAGUGGUGGUCACUAAAGUUCUAUGAGGCUGAUUAUUUUAAACAGCUUAGAAUGAUAAAAUCACUUACUUGAGGCAAUGCACAUCGUGUAAGUCUUUUUGUAAUAUUUUUUCUUCAAAAGUGGCUGGAACUAAUUUUUUUUUUAUUUUUCCACCAGUAGUAAUUCUUUUGUUAAUCUAUUAAAGGAAAUCUAAGAGCAUCUAUUGUAUUGAGAAAAUGUUUAUUAUGAGUGCUAGAGAUUCAGUCAUAUACCAAAUAUUAAUACUCUAGUAACAAAAUGUUUUACUAGUAUAUAUGAACAUGAUUAAAAUGACAACCCCAGAGAAAACUAGCAAGGUGUUAUUUUGAUAGGUUUCUUUGAAAGGAGAAGGAGAUGAUGUAACCUAAUAUAUUUUAUAA
RNAcentral lists this long non-coding RNA (3347 nucleotides) under Homo sapiens (human). RNAcentral's name for it is "non-protein coding MEF2C-AS1:20". The record is from RNAcentral. Lineage: Eukaryota; Metazoa; Chordata; Mammalia; Primates; Hominidae.